UCGGGGGGAAUCGACCCCCCUCGGUGUCGUAGCUAACGCGUUAAGUGUUCCGCCUGGGGAGUACGCACGCAAGUGUGAAACUCAAAGGAAUUGACGGGGGGCCCGCACAAGCGGUGGAGUAUGUGGUUUAAUUCGAUGCAACGCGAAGAACCUUACCAGGAUUUGACAUCCUGCGAACCUCUUAGAAAUUUGAGGGUGCCUUCGGGAACGCAGUGACAGGUGGUGCAUGGCUGUCGUCAGCUCGUGUCGUGAGAUGUUGGGUUAAGUCCCGCAACGAGCGCAACCCACGUUUUUAGUUGCCAGCAUUUAGUUGGGCACUCUAGAAAGACCGCCGGUGAUAAACCGGAGGAAGGUGUGGAUGACGUCAAGUCAUCAUGCCCCUUACAUCCUGGGCUACACACGUACUACAAUGCUACGGACAAAGGGCAGCAAACUCGCGAGGGCAAGCAAAUCCCAUAAACCGUGGCUCAGUUCAGAUCGUAGGCUGCAACUCGCCUACGUGAAGCAGGAAUCGCUAGUAAUCGCAGGUCAGCAUACUGCGGUGAAUACGUUCCCGGGCCUUGUACACACCGCCCGUCACACCAUGGAAGUUGGCCACGCCCGAAGUCGUUACUCCAACACCUUGUGGAGGAGGACGCCGAAGGUG
Molecule: ribosomal RNA, 646 nt
Filed under: uncultured Prochlorococcus sp.
Lineage: Bacteria; Bacillati; Cyanobacteriota; Cyanophyceae; Synechococcales; Prochlorococcaceae
Description: bacterial SSU rRNA
Rfam family: Bacterial small subunit ribosomal RNA
Source: RNAcentral